AUACGUAGGGGGCGAGCGUUGUCCGGAAUGAUUGGGCGUAAAGGGCGCGUAGGCGGCGCGGUAAGUCUGGAGUGAAUGUCCUGCUUUCAAGGUGGGAAUUGCUUUGGAUACUGCCGCGCUUGAGUGCAGGAGAGGUUAUCGGAAUUCCCGGUGUAGCGGUGAAAUGCGUAGAGAUCGGGAGGAACACCAGUGGCGAAGGCGGGUAACUGGACUGCAACUGACGCUGAGGCGCGAAAGUGUGGGGAGCAAACAGGAUUAGAUACCCUGGUAGUCCACACUGUAAACGAUGAAUGCUAGGUGUAGGGGGUAUCGACCCCUUCUGUGCCGCAGUCAACACAAUAAGCAUUCCGCCUGGGGAGUACGGCCGCAAGGUUGAAACUCAAAUGAAUUGACGGGG
RNAcentral lists this ribosomal RNA (397 nucleotides) under uncultured bacterium. Its description in RNAcentral is "partial 16S ribosomal RNA". It matches the Rfam family "Bacterial small subunit ribosomal RNA", at positions 523 to 918 of the family's 1533-position model. The record is from RNAcentral.